GUGCUUGCUUCGAUAGCACAUAACUAAAAUUGGAAUACUAGAGAAAAGAUUAUUAAUUUAGCCCCUGCACAAGGAUGGCAUGAAAAUUCGUGAAGCAUUCUAUCUUUUU
Molecule: small nuclear RNA, 109 nt
Organism: Mustela putorius furo (domestic ferret)
Lineage: Eukaryota; Metazoa; Chordata; Mammalia; Carnivora; Mustelidae
Source: Ensembl